This is a long non-coding RNA of Cynoglossus semilaevis (tongue sole), 726 nucleotides long. RefSeq lists it as uncharacterized. The transcript is spliced from 4 exons. Lineage: Eukaryota; Metazoa; Chordata; Actinopteri; Pleuronectiformes; Cynoglossidae. The record is from RefSeq and is a predicted model, not a curated record.
UUUGAGAACCUUUUUUAUCAAAUCGGUUUCGAAAGACGAUUGUUUUUUACUCAUAUUUGCUCAAUUUAGUUUGAAGUCUAUCUAUGAAAAAUACUUUAACUGAGUUAAGUGCUAAAAAAUAAAUCAAAACCUUUUUUUUUAAUCUUUUCACUGCAGCCCGGUACCAAAUAAUCUACUACCCGGUAUUGGGCCCUUUAAAUUUUCCCACGUGAUACUAUUCAGCCAAUCAGGUGUAGGCAUUCCAGGUGGAAAACGUUGCAAAUGCCCGAAAAGCAUGUCCCUGACUCCUUUCAAGGCCAGUUUUAAAUAUUGUUCAGUUGUUUUGAAAGUGUAUAAAAUAAUUUACCGGUAAAUCUUGUAAAAAUCUGAUUGUGGAAGGAUGUCGGAGAAAAGGGAGGAAACACCCCCACACGCAGGAAGGACAGCAGCAACAGAUUCCCCUCUUCACUUAACCAAUAGCAUUCUUCAGUAAAUGCCGCACUAAUCUUCUAGGACCGGUGUCCCCUAACGGCGUCACAAUCUUGGUCCUGAUUGACCUUCUGUCUGAAGUCGAAACCAAAGACAGACGACUGGAAGGCAUCAGCAGCAGGAGCGACAGUAGUGACUAUAUAAAGGGAGGCUCAGCACAGCGGCAGUGAACAGCUGCUGGAAACACCUGGAGAACACAGCUGCUGCUGCUGGUGCUGCUGCUGGUGAAGACGGCUGACUGACAGAAUGGACGUCCUC